RNAcentral lists this ribosomal RNA (891 nucleotides) under Laccaria laccata. Its description in RNAcentral is "eukaryotic LSU rRNA". It matches the Rfam family "Eukaryotic large subunit ribosomal RNA", at positions 63 to 938 of the family's 3401-position model. The record is from RNAcentral. Lineage: Eukaryota; Fungi; Basidiomycota; Agaricomycetes; Agaricales; Hydnangiaceae.
AACUAACAAGGAUUCCCCUAGUAACUGCGAGUGAAGCGGGAAGAGCUCAAAUUUAAAAUCUGGCAGUCUUUGGCUGUCCGAGUUGUAAUCUAGAGAAGUAUUAUCCGCGCUGGACCGUGUACAAGUCUCCUGGAAUGGAGCGUCAUAGAGGGUGAGAAUCCCGUCUUUGACACGGACUGCCAGGGCUUUGUGAUGUGCUCUCAAAGAGUCGAGUUGUUUGGGAAUGCAGCUCAAAAUGGGUGGUAAAUUCCAUCUAAAGCUAAAUAUUGGCGAGAGACCGAUAGCGAACAAGUACCGUGAGGGAAAGAUGAAAAGAACUUUGGAAAGAGAGUUAAACAGUACGUGAAAUUGCUGAAAGGGAAACGCUUGAAGUCAGUCGCGUUGGCCAGGGAUCAACCUUGCUUUUUUGCUUGGCUUACUUUCUGGUUGAUGGGUCAGCAUCAAUUUUGACUGGUGGAAAAAGUUCAAGGGAAUGUGGCAUCCUCGGAUGUGUUAUAGCCUUUGUUCGCAUACAUCAGUUGGGAUUGAGGAACUCAGCACGCCGCAAGGCCGGGUUUUUAACCACGUACGUGCUUAGGAUGCUGGCAUAAUGGCUUUAAUCGACCCGUCUUGAAACACGGACCAAGGAGUCUAACAUGCCUGCGAGUGUUUGGGUGAAAAACCCGAGCGCGUAAUGAAAGUGAAAGUUGAGAUCCCUGUCGUGGGGAGCAUUGACGCCCGGAUCUGACCUUUUGUGACGAUUCUGCGGUAGAGCAUGUAUGUUGGGACCCGAAAGAUGGUGAACUAUGCCUGAAUAGGGUGAAGCCAGAGGAAACUCUGGUGGAGGCUCGUAGCGAUUCUGACGUGCAAAUCGAUCGUCAAAUUUGGGUAUAGGGGCGAAAGACUAAUCGA